AUGUGGAUGUUGUCUGCUAAUAGGAAAUUUUCUGUAAAGUCUCUUUACCUCCAUCUCAUUAAAACAGAUGUGGGUUUCCCACAAAAAUUCUUGUGGAAAACAAAAGUGCCAGCGAAAAUCAAAAUUUUCCUAUGGCUAUUAAACAAAAAAAGUAUCCUAACCAAAGAUAAUCUGUUAAAGAGAGGGUGUAAAGGGGACAAAGAGUGUGUCCUGUGUGGGAAAGAGCAGAGCAUUGAUCACCUCUUCUUCUCCUAUUCGGUAGCUAGGCUCAUCUGGAGUCUGGUUGGUUGUGCUUUUGAUCUAAAGCAGAUCCCGAGAGAUCUGAAUGAUUGCUUUGGGAACUGGCUUAAGAAAUUUAACAAGAAUGACAAAAGGCUGGUGUUGACUCGCACUUCGGCCCUGCUUUGGCCAAUUUGGAAUUGUAAAAAUGAUAUUAUUUUUGGUAGGAAAAAUAUAAAUGACCCAUAUGGGAUCAUCAAAAGAAUGUGUAAUUGGAUUAUUGACUGGGCUGUUUUGCAGAGAAAUGACCCAGAGGAAAAAAUGUUGAUGUUGGGGGCAAGACUCAUCGAAUAG
Molecule: ribosomal RNA, 573 nt
Filed under: Triticum aestivum (bread wheat)
Lineage: Eukaryota; Viridiplantae; Streptophyta; Magnoliopsida; Poales; Poaceae
Description: partial small subunit ribosomal RNA
Source: RNAcentral